RNAcentral lists this ribosomal RNA (439 nucleotides) under uncultured bacterium. Its description in RNAcentral is "partial 16S ribosomal RNA". It matches the Rfam family "Bacterial small subunit ribosomal RNA", at positions 339 to 795 of the family's 1533-position model. The record is from RNAcentral.
CUACGGGCGGCUCCAGCGAGGAAUAUUGCACAAUGGGGGGAACCCUGAUGCAGCAACGCCGCGUGGAGGAUGACGCAUUUCGGUGUGUAAACUCCUUUUAUAUGUCAAGAAAAUGACGGUAGCAUAUGAAUAAGCACCGGCUAACUCCGUGUCAGCAGCCGCGGUAAUACGGAGGGUGCAAGCGUUACUCGGAAUCACUGGGCGUAAAGGACGCGUAGGCGGGUUGGAAAGUCAGGUGUGAAAUCCUACAGCUUAACUGUAGAACUGCACUUGAAACUUCUAAUCUAGAGUAUGGGAGGGGGAGAUGGAAUUAGUGGUGUAGGGGUAAAAUCCGUAGAUAUCACUAGGAAUACCUAAAGCGAAGGCGAUCUCCUGGAACAUUACUGACGCUAAGGCGUGAAAGCGUGGGGAGCAAACAGGAUUAGAUACCCGGGUAGUC